RNAcentral lists this non-coding RNA (140 nucleotides) under Aeromonas molluscorum. RNAcentral's name for it is "MoCo sequence". It matches the Rfam family "Molybdenum/Tungsten riboswitch aptamer (Moco RNA motif)". Lineage: Bacteria; Pseudomonadati; Pseudomonadota; Gammaproteobacteria; Aeromonadales; Aeromonadaceae. The record is from RNAcentral.
AAACUAGAUGAACUCCGAGCAUUUUCGCCUAAGUCUUUGGAUAAGGGGAAAAUUGCCGACAGCUGAUAUGCGCGCUGUAAGGGUCAGGAAAGAAAUGCCCUGGCCUCCCGUAUUUGGAAAGGUGUUUAUGUUGCCACUUG